GAAGGCGGAACCCGCCCCAGACGCCGGCUUCGCAGACGCUUCUCCUCUUUGCCGCUUUCCCUCAACUGCGCAGGGUGGGAGCUGAGGCCCGGUUCCACCGGCUUGAGCGUCGCGCCUUCACCUGGCCCCAGGUGGUGUCGUCAUUGCUGUCACUGAAGGCGGAGGAGGAGAGCUCCUCGCGGGGCGUGCAGACCGGGCACCGCUGCCGCAUAUCGUCCCAGCACGACAGGCAGUACACGGCCUCGCAGUCCAGCGUCGGGCACACGUAGGACUCGGGCGUCUCGGGUGCCAGGCACACCACGCAGCGCCGGCGCAGCCAGGGGCGCAGGAGCGGGCAGCGGCGGUGCAGGAUGUCCACCAAGUGGUGGCGCUGUUGGGAGGUAGGGGUUAGAGCCAAUUUGGGAGCGAGGGGCGAAAGAAGGGUUUGAGAAGGGAACUGGACAGCGCUUCUUGUCUGAAGUCAGGAGACGUGACAGUGCCCACAUGGGCGAGGCUGGGUUGGGCAAAGAAGACCCCGGAGGGCCAGUGUGCUAGGGAAAUGAGUUCUGGAGAGCCUCCCUGCCUCACUCCGUGAUGGAGAGUUGGAGGAUGCAGCCUCCAGGUCUCUCCCAGUGGAUAUCAGCAACAACUAUCUUUGGCGGUUCUCACGUGAGGCUGAGAAAUGAGUAGGCCAGAAAGAGUGUCACUAUUGUUACCCCCACUUUACAGAAAGAAAGAUAAAUCUCAGAAAGGUGAAGUGACUUUCCCAAAGGCACAACAAAUAGUAAACAAUCAAACCUGGCUGGACCCACAUGUGCUGAUUCCAAAUCACAAGCCCAGUCCAUUAUUCUCUCCCCUCCCCCAUACACUGUCUCCACACAAUUGCCAGGAAUAAUUCUUCACAGGCCACUUUAUUAGGUCAGUCUUUGUUCAAGAAGCUCCAGGGGCCCCACUGCCUGCCUGCCAGGCAGAACUCCUGGCUUUGGCCUUUAGAGCCUUCCAUAAUCUGGCCCCUCUCUAGCCUCUGCUCCACUUUACCCCUCCCUGAAUGCUGUCUCUUGUGUGCCGGUUUCUCCUUAGACUAGCCCUGGCACUUGGCAGUCCCUUUGGACUCUAAGUCUUUGCACGUUCUGUGCCCUAGGCUUGUAAUGACUGUUCCUCACAUUUCCAUCUGCACACUCAAAUCCAGCUUACUUGAGGACCCUGUCAAGGAAUCCCAGUAAGUUCUUUUUUCUUGUUCAUUUUUCCAUAACACAUUCUUCUGGCCACCUCUAUUGUGUGUCGUGGGGGCUGGGAGAGUCUAGGCACUGGAGGAAAAAGUUAAGCAAACACAGCCUCGCUAUUAUGAACUUUGCGUAAGAAUGGCUACCAUUCAUUGGUUAUAAUAUCAGGCCCUGUACUAAGAUACUGUAAGUCAAUCAAUAAUCAUAUAAGGCAGACAGUGUUAUUAUCAUCAUCUCUUUUUCAGAUGAGAAAACUGACCCUUGGAGAGGUGGUCACUUGCCCAGGGUCACAUGAUGACAGCAAACAUGUAUAUGGAACUUGCUGCAUGCCAGCACCAUGAGAGUAAAACUCAUUUAAUCCUUACAACUUGAUGGAGUAGUUAAUGCCAUUUUACAGAAGGGAAAAGCUAAGACAGAACAGUUAAGUAAUGUGCUCAAGAUCACAUAGUUGUCAUGGUAAUAAGGGGAGGAGCCAGGAUUCAAACCCAGGCCCUCUGGCACUAGAGCCCCACACCUCACCCGCGCUCUGUACUGAUCUCUAGUACAGCUCCCUAAUCUCCAGGAGCUGUAUAACUGGGGGCUUUAGCAUGUGUGGCAUCAGAACUCACCAAGUUCAAGUAGGCCUGGGACCACUGGUAGGUGCUGGGUAGACUGAAGGAUCUUCCCCCUCCCCCACAGUUCUUAGACCCAGCCGGGAGCUGGCAGGACCAUGCAGGCCUGGACUUACCGGACCCUUUUGCUGUUGUGCCCGUCUCACAAUUGCAGCCCUCCUCAAUUUGGUGAAGGCUGCUCUCUUUUUCAAUAGCUCAUUGUAGAAGAACAGGAUCCGCUUCUUCUCUCGCUGGGGGCAGGAAGGGGAGGAGGAAGGCAUCCCCCAAAGAUGGAGUUGGUGGGGAGCUGCUGCAGUGUAUGUAUGUAUGUGUGUGCACGCAGGUAUGUAGGGGUGGAGAGGUCUAGGGAAGGGCACACCUUGGGGAAGUAGAAGGCUGCGAUGACCCUCCGGAGCCGGUAAGCAAAAGCCUGUAACAGGCAGAGACACAGUAGCAGGCCAGUAGGUAGUGCAGCUCUCCAAUAGGCCCUGGCAUCCAGGCCCACAGGCUGGGGCAGGCAGGCUAGGGGAGAGGGCAGACCCAUCAGGGGUCUGGUCAGGGUUAGCCUACGGACAGGGAAGCCCUGGGUUGAACCCCGCUAUCCAAGUGGGAAGUGCAUGUUAGGCCUCUGAUCCCUGCUCUCCUCCUGCCUGCCCCUCACCCUGCAGAACUGCACUGUCAAUACCUUAGCCACUAGGCCCAUGAGGCUGUUUGCUCAAUGUGGGACAGAUCUCGAAAAUUUCCACCAGAGCAGAAAGUUCUGUUGGACAGUGCAGCUCUAAAGGGGUGGGAGCCUCUGGUCCCAAGACCCCAGUGUCCAGACUCCUUCAACUCAAGCCCGUCAUCCUCCACCUCUUCAAGCCUGCCCAAGUGCGCCAUGUUCUGAUUCCCCAACUCAAGCAUGCCGACCCCCAUCUCUCCACACCCAAGGCCCACUCUUUACCUAGGAAUCUUUUGACCUUUGCCCCCAGCCCUCAAUUUCUCUGAUCCAAACUUUCAACCUGACUCACGCAUGUUGUUUGAUUUCAUCACUGUCUCUGAAGAGGUGUUCAGGGCCCCAAUGGUUUUCCUAAGAAGCCGGGCAAGCAUGGAGUCUCCCCCAACCUUCACCUCCAGUUUAUGACUGCCUGAGGCCAGGAGAGAGGGUGAGGAGUCAGGAAAGAGCUGGAGUUAAGGGGGUGGGACAGGAUGGCGGCUGGAUGUUGGGGAAGAGUCAAGGCACAGACAUACUUCUCAGCAGCACAGGUCUUUCUAUGACUUCAGUGAACCCUAAUCCCUCCCUGUUGUAAAUGUAAAGGGUUAACUGAGGCCCCCAGUGAUAGCUGUCAGGUUGCAGGGCUGAGAUUUGACCUUGAGGAGGACAGAGAGGGGCUGAGUCACAGAAAAGGGAGCAGAAGAAGCAGAAGGAGGAGGUGCAAUUGGAAGAAUGGGGUGGGGUGGCUGCACAGGGGUUGGCCUUCUCCAGGGGUUGUCUCUUGGGCCUGGAACUUGGAGUGUGGUAUGGCCUCACUGUGGAAGGAGUACUCCAGGAAGGAGUGGUGGCGGAUGGUGUCGAAGAUGGAGUAGAGAGCCCAGUCCAGUCCGCACAGCAGCAGCAGCAGCAGCAGAAUGGGCAGCAUCUCUAGGAGCUCCCUUACCUACCCAAGGAGCGGAAGGGUAGACCUGGACCCGCUGCCUGCCUGGGCACAGAGCACUCGGCGCCUCUGCCCUCCACCCUCAGCUCCAGGCCUGUGGUUGCAUCCAGGAGCCUGCUGCCCAUGCCGUCCUCACCACAUUUCUCAUUUCUGAGGCCUGGAUAGUGGGCUUGCAGGGGAAGAUGACGGUUUUCUCCUCGGCUUUGCGGAGUGGCAGCAGAGUCCGUUUGCCCUGGAAAAGCAUGUCCACACAGCUAGGAACUCCAAGGGCCUGCUGCCCUUUCCCUUCUGCCCUCCUGGAGCAUGAAGCCCACACAGGGGACACAGCAAGGCAUCCUUGGGCAGGGCUGUGCCCGCUUACCAGCUGCUUCCUGCGCUCAUCUAUCUGACAGAAGUAGGUGCUGAUGUAGACAUUGUCAAAGCGAAUGUCCUGGUUAUAGCUGUCCAUGUAGGAGAAGGACCUGUGGAUGGGUGGACGGCGAUGUCUCUGUCUCUUACUCCAUGUUCACCUCACACACCCUCAACCAUGGGCUUCCUUGAGCCACAGUCAUUUAACUGAGCAACCAAUGUUCAUUGAGCGCUAUCUAUGUCCUUGGCCCUGUGCAAGGCAGUAGUGAUAACAAGGAGACUCUGCCCAUCUUCCAGCUGUGGACUGGGAGACACGCCCCUCCAUGCAGGAGAUGAGGUGGGGCUUCGAGGAAGGCAGAGCCGGCCUGUCCAGGACGGGGGAGUGUGUGCAUGUGAGGUAGAGACAGGCAAGCAGUCUGCAGGAUGAAGAGCACGCAGAGGCACAGAGAUGGGAAACUCCUCAAGGCUGCAGGAGUCACCUAACCCACCAUGACUCCCACAUUCACCUCUCAAGUCCCUGCCUCUUGGGGUUACCUGCAACACAUUUCUUGGAGGUUACCUCAAGCAACGCUCACUGAAAACCACCAUCUCCCUUCCACCAGCACACCUUUACCCCACCCUGGCUACCCUUGAGCAUGGUAGUGGUGUGUGCAUGUGUAUGUAGCUAUCCUCGGUUAUCUCCCAAAGUCCCACGUUUCCUAAGGAAGAAAUGUUAAUUGUUGGAAAUGUGUUUAAAACUGUAAAAGUACAUUAAAUAAACUCUGUAAAGUGUGAAA
Lemur catta (Ring-tailed lemur) is the source of this 4550-nucleotide long non-coding RNA. RefSeq lists it as uncharacterized. The transcript is spliced from 2 exons. The record is from RefSeq and is a predicted model, not a curated record. Lineage: Eukaryota; Metazoa; Chordata; Mammalia; Primates; Lemuridae.